AUUAAAGUGGCAGAGAAAUAUGCGAGGAAUUUAAGCUUCCUCUACGAAAUUUUCCUUUAAUA
This 62-nucleotide transfer RNA is filed under the name Rhipicephalus turanicus. RNAcentral describes it as "tRNA-Leu". Lineage: Eukaryota; Metazoa; Arthropoda; Arachnida; Ixodida; Ixodidae. The record is from RNAcentral.